This 1446-nucleotide ribosomal RNA is filed under the name Durio zibethinus. RNAcentral's name for it is "SSU rRNA". The stretch from base 2 to 996 matches the Rfam family "Eukaryotic small subunit ribosomal RNA", at positions 4 to 1116 of the family's 1831-position model. The record is from RNAcentral. Lineage: Eukaryota; Viridiplantae; Streptophyta; Magnoliopsida; Malvales; Malvaceae.
CCAAGUUGAUCCUGCCAGUAGUCAUAUGCUUGUCUCAAAGAUUAAGCCAUGCAUGUGUAAGUAUAAACUAAUUCAGACUGUGAAACUGCGAAUGGCUCAUUAAAUCAGUUAUAGUUUGUUUGAUGGUAUCUACUACUCGAAUAACCGUAGUAAUUCUAGAGCUAAUACAUGCAACAAACCCCGACUUCUGGAAGGGAUGCAUUUAUUAGAUAAAAGGUCAACGCGGGUUAUACCCAUUGCUCUAAUGAUUCAUGAUAACUUGACGGAUCACACGGCCUUUGUGCUGGUGAUGCAUCAUUCAAAUUUCUACCCUAUCAACUUUCGAUGGUAGGAUAGUGGCCUACUGGUGACGGGUGACAGAGAAUUAGGGUUCGAUUUCGGAGAGGGAGCCUGAGAAACGGCUACCACAUCCAAGGAAGGCAGCAGGCGCACAAAUUACCCAAUCCUGACACGGGGAGGUAGUGACAAUAAAUAACAAUACCGGGCUUUAUGAGUCUGGUAAUUGGAAUGAGUACAAUCUAAAUCCCUUAACGAGGAUCCAUUGGAGGGCAAAUCUGGUGCCAGCAGCCGCGGUAAUUCCAGCUCCAAUAACUUAUAUUUAAGUUGUUGCAGUUAAAAAGCUCAUAGUUAGAACUAGGGUUGGGUCGUUCGGUCUGCCUAAUGGUGAGCACCGGUCUACUCAUCCCUACUGUUGAUGAUACACUCUUGGACUUAAUUGCCCGAGUCGUUCCUCCGACGCUGUUACUUUGAAGAAAUUAGAGUGCUCAAAGUAGGCCUACGCUCAAAACGGACUGAGCCCAAGUCCCCUGGAAAGGGGCAUCGAAGAGGGUGAGAGCCCCGUUGUGCUCGGACCCUAUCGCACCAUGAGACAUUGUCCGCGAGUUGGGUUGUUUUGGAAUGUAGCCCCAAUCGGGCAGUAAAUUUUGUCCAAGGCUGAAUACGAGCGAAAGACCGAUAAUGAACAAGUACCUCGAGGGAAAGAUGAAUUGGACUUUGAAAAGGGAGUAUAAGAGUGCUUGAAAUUGUCGAAAGAAAAACGGAUAGGGGUCGAUGAUGCGCCCCGGUCAGAUGUGGAACGGUAAGAGUCGGUCCUCCGAUUGGCUCGGGGCGUGGACCGAUGCGGGUCACGACGGUGGCCCAAGCCUGGGCUUUCAUUGUGCCUGUGGAGACAUAAUCACCGUGAUCAUGGAACGCAGUACACACCCUCUCGACGUGCCCCGACACCAGUGUGCUCCAGGCGUCGACCUGUGGGCUCCCCAUCCGACCCGUCUUGAAACACAGACUAAGGAGUCUGACAUGCGUGCGAGUCAAUGGGCCAGGAAACCCGUAAGGUGCAAGGAAGCUGAUUGGCGGGAUCCCUUGUGGGUGCACCAUCGACCAACCUUGAUCUUCUGAGAAGGGUUUGAGUGCGAGCAUGCCCAUCGGGACCCAAAAGAUGGUGAACUA